UACGUAGGUCCCGAACGUUGUCCGGGUUUAUUGGGCGUAAAGCGAGCGCAGGUGGUUUAUUAAGUCUGGUGUAAAGGGCAGUGGCUCAACCAUUGUAUGCAUUGGAAACUGGUAGACUUGAGUGCAGGAGAGGAGAGUGGAAUUCCAUGUGUAGCGGUGAAAUGCGUAGAUAUAUGGAGGAACACCGGUGGCGAAAGCGGCUCUCUGGCCUGUAACUGACACUGAGGCUCGAAAGCGUGGGGAGCAAACAGG
RNAcentral lists this ribosomal RNA (252 nucleotides) under uncultured bacterium. RNAcentral's name for it is "partial 16S ribosomal RNA". It matches the Rfam family "Bacterial small subunit ribosomal RNA", at positions 524 to 776 of the family's 1533-position model. The record is from RNAcentral.